This is a long non-coding RNA of Melanotaenia boesemani (Boeseman's rainbowfish), 485 nucleotides long. RefSeq lists it as uncharacterized. The transcript has 3 exons. Lineage: Eukaryota; Metazoa; Chordata; Actinopteri; Atheriniformes; Melanotaeniidae. The record is from RefSeq and is a predicted model, not a curated record.
UUUUUUUUUAAUCUUUUUAACCUUUUUGUCUUUUUCUUUCAGAUUAUCCAGAGAUGGCACCAGGACUAGUGAAUGUUUUCUUAGGAUUAAAAACUUAUUCCCAUCUAAAUAAACCACUUAUAUUGGAUGCUAUACCUCUGCUCGUAUUUGUUGGACUACCUCAUGUCACAUAACACAUUACUCUCUCGCCGGAUCUGUGGAAAGAACAAUGAAGUUGAACAUCAUCUCCCUCCAUCACAGGAAGUACAGGGCUCUUAAGGAUCACACCAUGAGCUAAAAUAUUCACACCAGUACACUCCAGUGUCUUGUGGGUAAGCAUCGUCGAUGAUGCAGGAGGACCCGCGUUCCCAGCCAUACUGGCAUGUCUGAGCAGUCUGGGAUGUUGUGUUCCUCUUCACUAUCCAUCCACUGGAGUUCCCCACACAUCUCAGAGUGACACUGUCAUAUCGAAAGAACUGAGACCGGUCGGGAGCAACGUUCAUCUG